Molecule: ribosomal RNA, 1441 nt
Filed under: metagenome
Description: bacterial SSU rRNA
Rfam family: Bacterial small subunit ribosomal RNA
Source: RNAcentral
AGAGUUUGAUCCUGGCUCAGGAUGAACGCUGGCGGCGUGCUUAACACAUGCAAGUCGAACGAUCCUUCGGGAUAGUGGCGGACGGGUGAGUAACGCGUGGGAAUCUGCCCUCAGGAGGGGGAUAACGGCUGGAAACGGCCGCUAAUACCCCAUAUGCCGAGAGGUGAAAUGAAUUUCGCCUGAGGAUGAGCCCGCGUCUGAUUAGCUAGUUGGUGGGGUAAUGGCCUACCAAGGCAACGAUCAGUAGCUGGUCUGAGAGGAUGAUCAGCCACACUGGGACUGAGACACGGCCCAGACUCCUACGGGAGGCAGCAGUGGGGAAUUUUCCGCAAUGGGCGAAAGCCUGACGGAGCAACGCCGCGUGAGGGAUGAAGGCCUCUGGGCUGUAAACCUCUUUUCUCAAGGAAGAAGACCUGACGGUACUUGAGGAAUAAGCCACGGCUAAUUCCGUGCCAGCAGCCGCGGUAAUACGGGAGUGGCAAGCGUUAUCCGGAAUUAUUGGGCGUAAAGCGUCCGCAGGCGGCCUUGUAAGUCUGUUGUUAAAGCGUGGAGCUCAACUCCAUUUAAGCAAUGGAAACUACAAGGCUGGAGUGUGGUAGGGGCAGAGGGAAUUCCCGGUGUAGCGGUGAAAUGCGUAGAUAUCGGGAAGAACACCAGUGGCGAAGGCGCUCUGCUGGGCCAUAACUGACGCUCAUGGACGAAAGCCAGGGGAGCGAAAGGGAUUAGAUACCCCUGUAGUCCUGGCCGUAAACGAUGAACACUAGGUGUCGGGGGAAUCGACCCCCUCGGUGUCGUAGCCAACGCGUUAAGUGUUCCGCCUGGGGAGUACGCACGCAAGUGUGAAACUCAAAGGAAUUGACGGGGGCCCGCACAAGCGGUGGAGUAUGUGGUUUAAUUCGAUGCAACGCGAAGAACCUUACCAGGGUUUGACAUCCUGCGAACCCCUGAGAAAUCGGGGGGUGCCUUCGGGAGCGCAGAGACAGGUGGUGCAUGGCUGUCGUCAGCUCGUGUCGUGAGAUGUUGGGUUAAGUCCCGCAACGAGCGCAACCCACGUCUUUAGUUGCCAGCAUUCAGUUGGGCACUCUAGAGAGACCGCCGGUGAUAAACCGGAGGAAGGUGUGGAUGACGUCAAGUCAUCAUGCCCCUUACAUCCUGGGCUACACACGUACUACAAUGCUACGGACAAAGGGCAGCAAGCUCGCGAGAGUUAGCAAAUCCCAUAAACCGUGGCUCAGUUCAGAUCGUAGGCUGCAACUCGCCUACGUGAAGGAGGAAUCGCUAGUAAUCGCAGGUCAGCAUACUGCGGUGAAUACGUUCCCGGGCCUUGUACACACCGCCCGUCACACCAUGGAAGUUGGCCAUGCCCGAAGUCGUUACUCCAACCCUUGUGGAGGAGGACGCCGAAGGUGGGGCUGAUGACUGGGGUGAAGUCAACAAGGUA